UCAGGAGAAAGCUGUGAUGCGGAUGGUUCUGAAGCAGAGGGGAGGCCGGUUGUGCCUGGGUUCUGUCACUGAGGGGACAGCCUCAAGUACACAGCUGGGACUGUCGAAGAACCGGUCACCCACAGUCCUCCCUGGGCUAUUUUCAACCCAGUGGCUUUUCACAGUCACUGGUGAUGCUGACAAGGGCAACCUACAGAGCAGGCCUGCUAGGACAAGGAAGCAUGAAAGCUGUGUUCUCCAGGGGUUGAUCAGACGGGAGCCGGGAACACACAGCGGGAUCCGCAUGAACAAACAGGGGAUCGCCUAUCGCCAGCCACGUGGCAUCCCCAGCUGCCUCCCAGGUGCAGCUAUGACGACCUCAAAGAUGGGUGGCCCUGGACUGCAGCUCCCAGAUCGGGGUGGGCCAGGUGGCCUGAAUGAAUUCGCAUCCUGAAAGGGCUGGAAAAGAAACCUCUGGGUGUCUGUUUUCAUGGCUUCAUUUUUGGAUUAAAAAUUCUCUCUGGCUCUGGAGACAUGAUUGGCAUUGAGGCAAAGCAAGCUCCUUUGGAAGGCCAUGAACGCCGGCGUAGUGCUUACUCCACUCCUUAUGCAUCAGUGAGUGGUAGCCUCUGAGCUGACUAAGAAGGUUCCAUUAAGUGAAAGCCGACGUUAAGUAAAGCAUCCAACGCAGGCAUAGACGGGCACAGCAAAGGAAGUGUGAACUGACAAAGAAAUGGAAUUAAGGGAAACAGUCUGGAUUCUUCCACUGUGUCAUGGUUGUUCAGUAGUAAAGAAGUUCCUGGAAAACAAAAAUACUGUAAAGCCACACACAUAAUCCAGUAAGAAAAAAUCAAAACGUAGAAAGUUUUU
Non-coding RNA from Oryctolagus cuniculus (rabbit), 849 nucleotides. The record is from RefSeq and is a predicted model, not a curated record. Lineage: Eukaryota; Metazoa; Chordata; Mammalia; Lagomorpha; Leporidae.